RNAcentral lists this ribosomal RNA (484 nucleotides) under uncultured bacterium. RNAcentral describes it as "partial 16S ribosomal RNA". It matches the Rfam family "Bacterial small subunit ribosomal RNA", at positions 30 to 507 of the family's 1533-position model. The record is from RNAcentral.
AUUGAACGCUGGCGGCAGGCCUAACACAUGCAAGUCGAGCGGAUGAAUGGUGCUUGCUCCUGGAUUCAGCGGCGGACGGGUGUGUAAUUCCUAUGAAUCUGCCUGGUAGUGGUUGAUAACGUCCUGAAACGGGCGCUAAUACCGCAUACGUCCUGAGUGUGUAAGUUGUGGUUCUUCUGACCUCACGCUUUCUUAUGAGCCUAGGUCGGAUUAGCUAGUUGGUGGGGUAAAGGCCUACCAAGGCGACGAUCCGUAACUGGUAUGAGAGGAUGAUCAGACACACUGGAAGUGAGACACGGAAAAGACAAGUAAGGGAGGAAGCAGUGGGGAAUAUUGGACAAUGGGCGAAAGAAUGAUACAGCAAAGCCGAGUGUGUGAAGAAGGUCUUCGGAUUGUAAAGAACUUUAAGUUGGGAGGAAGGGAAGUAAGUUAAUAACUUGCUGUAUUGACGUUAACAACAGAAUAAGCACCGGCUAACUACGUG